CUCCCCACACACAACGGUCAAAGAGACACCUUGUUGGUGAUGUUCUUUUAUUAGUGAGGGGCAGAGCAGUGGGCAGUUCUUUGUUCAUCCUAGCUUGAUGCCUGGCUUGGUGUCCAAAGCUGUUUUAUGCCUAGGACUUAUAA
Mus musculus (house mouse) is the source of this 143-nucleotide small nucleolar RNA. RefSeq annotates it as small nucleolar RNA SNORA48. The record is from RefSeq and is a predicted model, not a curated record. The transcript has a single exon. NCBI's taxonomy places the organism in Eukaryota, Metazoa, Chordata, Mammalia, Rodentia, Muridae.